Molecule: non-coding RNA, 102 nt
Filed under: Companilactobacillus ginsenosidimutans
Lineage: Bacteria; Bacillati; Bacillota; Bacilli; Lactobacillales; Lactobacillaceae
Description: Lactobacillus ginsenosidimutans TPP sequence
Rfam family: TPP riboswitch aptamer (THI element)
About the family: Vitamin B(1) in its active form thiamin pyrophosphate (TPP) is an essential coenzyme that is synthesised by coupling of pyrimidine and thiazole moieties in bacteria.
Source: RNAcentral
AUUAAUCGCUAGGGGUGCAUUAAAAAUGCUGAGAUUGUAAAUGCCAAUCCCUUUGAACCUGAUUUGGUCAAAACCAACGUAGGAAAGUGAUAAUCCUUGCAG